GGGGAGGCAGCAGUCGAGAAUAUUCGUCAAUGGGCGAAAGCCUGAACGAGCGACGCCGCGUGGGUGAAGAAGGGCUUAGGUCUGUAAAACUCUUUUCUAGGGGAGGAAUUUGCCGCAAGGCGAAUGACAGUACCCUAGGAAUAAGGAGGUGCAAAUUUUGUGCCAGCAGCCGCGG
Molecule: ribosomal RNA, 175 nt
Filed under: uncultured bacterium
Lineage: Bacteria
Description: partial 16S ribosomal RNA
Rfam family: Bacterial small subunit ribosomal RNA
Source: RNAcentral